CACGAAGAUACAAGCCAAGGUACUUGCGUUAGGCUUGCGUUAGACUUGCGUUAGGAGGGACGGGUCCCGUCUCGGAUUAGGGUGGUAAAGAGUCAGCUAAACAGAUAUGCCGCUACGCCUUGCAGCACAGUCGACCUAAUUUGGAAGUGCGCAAUAGAGCACAAUGAAAACGGUGACAAAAGCGCCCGCCUCGGUGAGUACGUCAGGCGCGGCUGCACUGGACCCCCAAACCGGCUUGCGGAACCCACCCUUUUUGUACCUUGCAGGAUACAUGACUUCCAUGCAACUAGAUAUUGGCUGCACAACGAAUCCUGUAUCUGGCGCGACAUGAGAAACUCAAGUUGAUACUUCUAGCUUACAGCGCCCUCCCUUAAUGCGGUAGGGAGCCUCUAAAUGUCCCGAUGAUGCUGGAAUCCAUAACCUUCAGCGUUGUCAGGAUCACAGACCCCCCCCCCUAUAGCGACGAAGCCCCAAGGCCCAAGUGCGACUCACGCAGCCAGUAGCGGCAAUGUACAUAGAGCCUUCUGGAUAAGAGAACUUUUCAUGCCAACAAUCAAUCCCAAGAAACCCCAUCCGUUGCUCAAGAAACUUC
RNAcentral lists this long non-coding RNA (592 nucleotides) under Volvox carteri. Its description in RNAcentral is "long non-coding RNA (VCAR_LNC002272)". The record is from RNAcentral. Lineage: Eukaryota; Viridiplantae; Chlorophyta; Chlorophyceae; Chlamydomonadales; Volvocaceae.